CCUAUAUUUGUGUUCCUACAGAUUCGUGUCUGGAGAGCACAGCAGAGUCCCGCAACAAGGAGCCGGAAGACGCUGCAGGUACCCCCUAUGAAUUCACGGCAGUCAUUCCGUUUGAUGACGGAGACGGAGACACCACAUCCACCUCCGAGAGCACCCUGCUGGAAAAUGAAAGCGGUAUGUAUUCUGGAGUCACUCUCUCGGUAAGGAGAAAUCCGGAAGAUGAGAAGGGUGGGACUUUCUUGCAGUCUUACUGUGCAGAGCCACCCUGAUUUCAGCUGCUGUGGGUCUGACAAUAAGGACACUGCCUUCCAAAGGGCUUCUCCAGGAAAAGACCUAUGGUCACAAGGUAGCACCCCGGAAGCAGCUGUACUGCCAUUAGCUGGUGAGGUUUGUGUGCAGGGAGGUAGGUGUGUCUACAUGUAAAUCCAUGUGAUGUGACUCUCAGUGCUCGUGUGUGUGUGUGUGUGUGUGGUGUGAACGCACACGCACGCAUGUGUUUGUUGUACCGUGUGUUUACUGGGAUGUAUUUAGACUUCCCUAAGCAUUCCUCUUAAUUGUGUCACCUAUCUCACUACAAAAUCCCAUCCCCAUUACAUCAUGAAGGAUUAUGCGUAUUAAAACGAAUCAAAAAAUAGAAUGUAAAUCUGUUCCUUGUAUCCCCAACACAUGUGCAUGGACAAGGGAAAAAAUAUCUCACAUCGUCCAGUUUCUGUCACAGACCCGUGACAAUAGGACCUCACCUCCUGGUAGGACUCGUCGCACGAUUGGUCAUGGUAUGUCACUCUUGCCACUUUUCUGCACACAGCCCUCUUCAUCUGAGGCUCCACAAUGAGUCUUCCCAACAUCACUCUAGUCACAGAGUGCUAGGGCAGGGCUUCUUCCCUCUGCAGGUGGCUUCGUGUUGAGCCACGUGCCAAUUCCGAUCUGGUUUGACUGGAGAAAUCAGGGACUGCUAAGACUAGGCAGGGAGAUUCACUCCUUCUUUCUCCACCUUCUUGGAAUGGGAUCUUAGAGUUCUCUGCAGAUACUGCUGCUGAGACUCAACCUGUCUUUCUCAGAUGAAAAUCGCAGCACCCACCACUGACUGUCGUUGCAGUUCUGUGUGCUGGGCAAAAAGUGUAAUUCAAAGAGACCAACAAGGUCUUUGUCAGAGACUGAGCGUCAGUGUGAGCACUUGGCUCUCUUCCAAGGAGCACCACAGUCUAUGUUGGGUACUCCAAGGUGUGGAAUUAGCACCUCAGCAGUGUGAAGGGAGAAUCCACUCUCACCUUCCUGUCCAUCUGCCAUUGCAAAGAGGGCUGGAUGACGUCUGAAGGCUUUUGCAAGGAAAC
This is a long non-coding RNA of Hyaena hyaena (striped hyena), 1331 nucleotides long. RefSeq lists it as uncharacterized. NCBI's taxonomy places the organism in Eukaryota, Metazoa, Chordata, Mammalia, Carnivora, Hyaenidae. The transcript is spliced from 3 exons. The record is from RefSeq and is a predicted model, not a curated record.